Molecule: long non-coding RNA, 484 nt
Filed under: Struthio camelus australis
Lineage: Eukaryota; Metazoa; Chordata; Aves; Struthioniformes; Struthionidae
Description: lncRNA (ENSSCUG00000014916.1)
Source: RNAcentral
UCGCAGCCCUGCAGCAGUGGCCCGGUGUGUCUGUUCCUCACUGGACUUGUGUUGCUCACGCGGGAGUCCCCGUCACGACUGCCUGGGCAGUGAUCCUCAAGUUGUCUGCCAAGACUACAUAACAGCUGACAGCUGCCUGUGGAAUGAAAGCAAAGGCCAACUUCUCCAAGCCGUCAUUUUGGUGCAGCGUGGCACAGACCAGGCUGGCAGGGCCACAGCCGCGUCCACCUCGAGCCCCGUCCCCACGAGAGGCAGCAGUGCAGCUGGAGCUGGGCUCGGAUGCUCCCAGGGAGAGAGAGGAGCAUGGACUGACCAGGCACAUCCCCGUCCCGCACACUCCUCUCGGACAUGGUACGUGCAGCUGAGCCGUAGCACCUCACAGACCCCGUCCCUCUUGCCGCCAGAUGGCAGGGCCAGCUUUGCGAUGGCGAGGGGGCGCGGUGACGCCCGCCAGCCAGUGCUGACAUUGCUUCUGUCCCCAUAA